RNAcentral lists this ribosomal RNA (516 nucleotides) under uncultured marine eukaryote. RNAcentral describes it as "SSU rRNA". It matches the Rfam family "Eukaryotic small subunit ribosomal RNA", at positions 617 to 1136 of the family's 1831-position model. The record is from RNAcentral.
GGUUAAAAAGCUCGUAGUUGGAUUUCUGUUGAGGAUGACCGGUCCGCUCUUUGAGCGCGUAUCUGGUUCAGCCUUGGCAUCCUCUUGGGGAACGCUACUGUGCUUGAUUGCAUGGGGCGGUAUUCAAGACUUUUACUUUGAGGAAAUUAGAGUGUUCACUGCAAGCGUUAGCAAUUGAAUACAUUAGCAUGGAAUAAUAAUAUAGGACCUUGGUACUAUUUUGUUGGUUUCUAGAACUAAGGUAAUGAUUAAUAGGGACAAUUGGGGGCAUUCGUACUAACGCGUCAGAGGUGGAAUUCUUAGAUUGCGUUACGACGAACUACUGCGAAAGCAUUUGCCAAGGAUGUUUUCAUUGAUCAAGAACGAAAGUAUGGGGAUCGAAGACGCUUAGAUACCGUCGUAGUCUAUACCAUAAACUAUGCCAACUAGAGAUUGGAGGUCGUUCUCUUUAUGACUCCUUCAGCGCCUUAUGAGAAAUCAAUGUCUUUGGGUUCCGGGGGGAGUAUGGUCGCAAGG